Molecule: ribosomal RNA, 253 nt
Filed under: uncultured bacterium
Lineage: Bacteria
Description: partial 16S ribosomal RNA
Rfam family: Bacterial small subunit ribosomal RNA
Source: RNAcentral
UACAGAGGUGGCAAGCGUUGUUCGGAAUUACUGGGCGUAAAGGGCGCGUAGGCGGCCAUCUAAGUCAGACGUGAAAUCCCCCGGCUCAACCUGGGAACUGCGUCUGAUACUGGACGGCUUGAGUUUGGGAGAGGGAUGUAGAAUUCCAGGUGUAGCGGUGAAAUGCGUAGAUAUCGCUUGGAACGCCAAAGGUGAAGACAGGUGACUGGGGGUGUGCCGACGCUGAGACGCGAAAGCCAGGGGAGCAAACGGG